CAUGGUCCCUCAAACAACCAAACAAACAAACACACUGACAAACACAAGCUCAGCACAUGCUUCAGACCCAGCAACUGGAAAGAGGAGUUUCUGAGACAGAGUCCAAUGCUGCAGUACAACACGCUGGACCCACACAAGCAAAAUCAACAUGAACCUUCUUGAAAGAAGCUUGGGUAAAGUCUUGUCUAUAGUUUAGGGUGGAGAAUGGAGGAGACAGGAAUCAAUGACCUAAAGAUCUCCCACCUCACAAAAAGCAACAGCAACAUCAGCCUCUUGAGCCGCCAGCAGAGCUGCAAAGGAAGGAGAAUGAAGGUCAUCAGGGUUGGAAAGGAGCUUAGUGGUGACUGCACUUGACAUUGAGUAGCAGGAUGUGAA
Mauremys reevesii (Reeves's turtle) is the source of this 375-nucleotide long non-coding RNA. RefSeq lists it as uncharacterized. The transcript is spliced from 3 exons. The record is from RefSeq and is a predicted model, not a curated record. Lineage: Eukaryota; Metazoa; Chordata; Testudines; Geoemydidae.